AGAGUUUGAUCCUGGCUCAGGAUGAACGCUGGCGGCGUGCUUAACACAUGCAAGUCGAACGAAGCACUUUUAUUUGAUUUCUUCGGAAUGAAGAUUUUAGUGACUGAGUGGCGGACGGGUGAGUAACGCGUGGUAACCUGCCUCAUACAGGGGGAUAACAGUUAGAAAUGACUGCUAAUACCGCAUAAGACCACAGCACCGCAUGGUGCAGGGGUAAAAACUCCGGUGGUAUGAGAUGGACCCGCGUCUGAUUAGGUAGUUGGUGGGGUAACGGCCUACCAAGCCGACGAUCAGUAGCCGACCUGAGAGGGUGACCGGCCACAUUGGGACUGAGACACGGCCCAAACUCCUACGGGAGGCAGCAGUGGGGAAUAUUGCACAAUGGGGGAAACCCUGAUGCAGCGACGCCGCGUGAGCGAUGAAGUAUUUCGGUAUGUAAAGCUCUAUCAGCAGGGAAGAAAAUGACGGUACCUGACUAAGAAGCACCGGCUAAAUACGUGCCAGCAGCCGCGGUAAUACGUAUGGUGCAAGCGUUAUCCGGAUUUACUGGGUGUAAAGGGAGCGUAGACGGAGUGGCAAGUCUGAUGUGAAAACCCGGGGCUCAACCCCGGGACUGCAUUGGAAACUGUCAAUCUAGAGUACCGGAGAGGUAAGCGGAAUUCCUAGUGUAGCGGUGAAAUGCGUAGAUAUUAGGAGGAACACCAGUGGCGAAGGCGGCUUACUGGACGGUAACUGACGUUGAGGCUCGAAAGCGUGGGGAGCAAACAAGAUUAGAUACCCUGGUAGUCCCCCCCGUAAACCAUGACUACUAGGUUUCGGGCAGCAAAAGCUGUUUGGGUGCCGCAGCAAACGCAAUAAGUAGUCCACCUGGGGAGUACGUUCGCAAGAAUGAAACUCAAAGGAAUUGACGGGGACCCGCACAAGCGGCGGAGCAUGUGGUUUAAUUCGAAGCAACGCGAAGAACCUUACCUGCUCUUGACAUCUCCCUGACCGGCAAGUAAUGUUGCCUUUCCUUCGGGACAGGGAUGACAGGUGGUGCAUGGUUGUCGUCAGCUCGUGUCGUGAGAUGUUGGGUUAAGUCCCGCAACGAGCGCAACCCCUAUCUUUAGUAGCCAGCGGUUUGGCCGGGCACUCUAGAGAGACUGCCAGGGAUAACCUGGAGGAAGGUGGGGAUGACGUCAAAUCAUCAUGCCCCUUAUGAGCAGGGCUACACACAUGCUACAAUGGCGUAAACAAAGGGAGGCAGAACCGCGAGGUCGAGCAAAUCCCAAAAAUAACGUCUCAGUUCGGAUUGUAGUCUGCAACUCGACUACAUGAAGCUGGAAUCGCUAGUAAUCGCGAAUCAGAAUGUCGCGGUGAAUAAAUUCCCGGGUCUUGCACACACCGCCCGUCA
RNAcentral lists this ribosomal RNA (1393 nucleotides) under uncultured bacterium. RNAcentral describes it as "16S ribosomal RNA". It matches the Rfam family "Bacterial small subunit ribosomal RNA". The record is from RNAcentral.